This 231-nucleotide long non-coding RNA is filed under the name Lathyrus oleraceus (garden pea). Its description in RNAcentral is "Pisum sativum (pea) long non-coding RNA (PSAT_LNC039450)". The record is from RNAcentral. Lineage: Eukaryota; Viridiplantae; Streptophyta; Magnoliopsida; Fabales; Fabaceae.
AGCUUAGGGGCUACACGUGAUAAAAAAAAUGAAAAAAAAUAAUAAAAGAUUAAGAAAUGCAAGUAUAGAAAAAUAUUUCGAUGUAUUUUAUUGAUCAUGAACAUGUAUAAUAGACAAGAAUUACAAAUUGCAUAUUAGGAAACUAAUUAUGCCUAAUCAAUACAAAUAUUCUCUUUUUAAUAUAUUAUCGGUGUACAAUAUAUUUUUCAAAUAUAUGUGUAUGCUGUCAUG